UGGGAUUAAAGAUGUGUACUACAAUGCCU
This 29-nucleotide non-coding RNA is filed under the name Mus musculus (house mouse). The record is from RNAcentral. Lineage: Eukaryota; Metazoa; Chordata; Mammalia; Rodentia; Muridae.